Molecule: ribosomal RNA, 360 nt
Filed under: uncultured Thauera sp.
Lineage: Bacteria; Pseudomonadati; Pseudomonadota; Betaproteobacteria; Rhodocyclales; Zoogloeaceae
Description: bacterial SSU rRNA
Rfam family: Bacterial small subunit ribosomal RNA
Source: RNAcentral
CGGGAGCCUGGACACAGGUGCUGCAUGGCUGUCGUCAGCUCGUGUCGUGAGAUGUUGGGUUAAGUCCCGCAACGAGCGCAACCCUUGUCACUAGUUGCCAUCAUUUAGUUGGGCACUCUAGUGAGACUGCCGGUGACAAACCGGAGGAAGGUGGGGAUGACGUCAAGUCCUCAUGGCCCUUAUGGGUAGGGCUUCACACGUCAUACAAUGGUCGGUACAGAGGGAAGCAAUACCGCGAGGUGGAGCAAAUCCCAUAAAGCCGGCCUCAGUUCAGAUCGGAGGCUGCAACUCGCCUCCGUGAAGGCGGAAUCGCUAGUAAUCGCGGAUCAGCAGGCCGCGGUGAAUACGUUCCCGGGCCUU